AAAACCAGACAUUCUGUGCAGGUGGAUGGAUGACAGUUGGUGUUUUUACUAUGUAGCAAACUCAAAAGGUUUCUCUGCUGAAGGUUUUGUGGCUCUCUUAGGAGGAGUGGAAGCUUUGUGGGGUAGGACCUAAUGGACAGAAGCUGAUCUCGAGGAGCCUCAGAAGGGUGUGUGUUGUCUCUCUGUGCAUCCUGCCUGCCACGAGGAACUAUUAUAUCAACCACUCCUUUGGAUCGUGUCUACAUCAUCUGUGGGACAUGUGACACGAUGGUGCACCCACAUCUGCUCCUGGAAGGUCAGGCACAACAAAAAGGUCAGAAACAAAAAGUUAAAGGUUGGGUCGAAAGGAGAUGCGCCUUCCACAGCUGUCAAAACCACGCACAGGUGCAUGUAAGGAGCGCGCUCUUGAGGUCCUCCGGUCAGGCGACAAAGCCGCGAUGAGCAGCAUCAGAGGCUGUGACAGCUGUGACCCUUGGGGCCUCACUUGUGCAUUCCUGUGGAAAAGCAAAGCUCAGACUUGAGGCCGGCACAGCAUGGAAAGAGGGACUGACUCACGACCCCUGGUAGAGAACCCCCUUCCCCUACCCAGAGGCCCUCUGGAAGAUUGCACUGGCCUCCCCAUACCCUGGUAGGCCAUUUU
RNAcentral lists this long non-coding RNA (640 nucleotides) under Mus musculus (house mouse). Its description in RNAcentral is "predicted gene, 39348". Lineage: Eukaryota; Metazoa; Chordata; Mammalia; Rodentia; Muridae. The record is from RNAcentral.